RNAcentral lists this small RNA (127 nucleotides) under Marmota monax (woodchuck). The record is from RNAcentral. Lineage: Eukaryota; Metazoa; Chordata; Mammalia; Rodentia; Sciuridae.
GCUGGGUGUGGUGGCACAUACCUGUAAUCCCAACGACUCAGGAGGCUGAGGCAAGAGGAUUGCAGGUUUGAGGCCAGUCUUGGGAACUUAGUGAGGCCCUGAGCAACUUAGCAAAAUCCUGUCUCAA